Molecule: unclassified non-coding RNA, 343 nt
Filed under: soil metagenome
Description: partial contains 5.8S ribosomal RNA, internal transcribed spacer 2, and large subunit ribosomal RNA
Rfam family: 5.8S ribosomal RNA (bases 1-120)
Source: RNAcentral
GAUGAAGAACGUAGCGAAAUGCGAUAAGUAAUGUGAAUUGCAGAAUUCAGUGAAUCAUCGAAUCUUUGAACGCACAUUGCGCCCGCCAGUAUUCUGGCGGGCAUGCCUGUUCGAGCGUCAUUUCAACCCUCAGGACCCUUUGGACCUGGUGUUGGGGCUCGGCCGCUACCCCGCGGCCGUCCCCGAAAGAUAGUGGCGGUCUUGCUGUAGCGUCCUCUGCGUAGUAAUUACACCUCGCACUGGAACGCGGCGCGGCCACGCCGUUAAACACCCCACUUCUCAAGGUUGACCUCGGAUCAGGUAGGAAUACCCGCUGAACUUAAGCAUAUCAAUAAGCGGAGGA